This is a long non-coding RNA of Lotus japonicus, 812 nucleotides long. RefSeq lists it as uncharacterized. Lineage: Eukaryota; Viridiplantae; Streptophyta; Magnoliopsida; Fabales; Fabaceae. The transcript has 2 exons. The record is from RefSeq and is a predicted model, not a curated record.
AUAAAAAGGGAGGAAUGUUUCAAUGUUGAAAGAAAAGUACUCAGAGGAAAACAAGUGCGAGCUAGUGAAGUUCCAUGGCCACUCCACCACCACCACCUCAAGGGCUGAACAAUGGUCAUGAAGAAGGAGAAAAUGAAGAGUUGGACCCAAUUCUGAUGAUUCGAAUUGAAAGGAUGAUGGAGGAGGUGAGAGAAGAAGAUUGCAUAACACCAACAAGGCCAGAGAAUCAGAUCACAGCCCAUUUGACAUGCCCACCUGCACCAAGACAAAAAAGAGAGUAUCUGCCCCCAGCAAUACCAUUUCCGCUUCACUGCAGGCCAAGAUCAUCAACAACUGGCGAGGAACAAAACCCCAACUUUCUUGACAUGAUCUUCCAGCAGUUUCAUGGAGAGCAGGCUAGGGCUAAGAGGCGCCGCAGAAGUAUGUGAAGAUUUUAAAGCCCGUUUAAUUUGGAUGCAACGCAUAUGCAGUUAUUGGAGUUUAUCUAGUUCUUAUAGAGUUCUUAGUUUAAUUUAUUGCAUGCAUGUAAUUGUGAGUGAAUAUCCUCACAUUAAUUAAUCAUCAUCCAUCUAUUAGGUUUCAGAGGCUCUAUGAGUCUAUGUAGUUCAUGUAGAAUAGUUAACUUCGAUCCAUAGGUUUUCAGAGGUUCGGUAUGACCCUGUAGUGUGCUAUUCAUAUGCAUCCAUACAUGCAUCUUUAUUUCUGCUGUUUAAUUAAAAUUUGGUGUUGCAUCUUCUAAUUGGCCAUUGUUGAUUUUGCUUAAUGUUUAAAUUUUUGCUCUUUUUUAAUCAAUUUUAAUUUCUGGUUCUGUA